RNAcentral lists this ribosomal RNA (500 nucleotides) under uncultured bacterium. RNAcentral describes it as "partial 16S ribosomal RNA". It matches the Rfam family "Bacterial small subunit ribosomal RNA", at positions 28 to 507 of the family's 1533-position model. The record is from RNAcentral.
GACGAACGCUGGCGGCGUGCUUAACACAUGCAAGUCGAACGGGUCUGCCCUGUUUUUUGCGGGGUGGGUCAGUGGCGAACGGGUGAGUAACACGUGAGUAACCUGCCCCUCACUUCUGGAUAACCGCUUGAAAGGGUGGCUAAUACGGGGUGUUCUGGCUGUGCCGCAUGGUGUGGCUGGGAAAGAUUCACUUUUGUGGUGUUUUGGUGGGGGAUGGGCUCGCGGCCUAUCAGCUUGUUGGUGGGGUGAUGGCCUGCCAAGGCUUUGACGGGUAGUCGGCCUGAGAGGGUGGGCGGUCACACUGGGACUGAGCUACGGCCCCGACUCCUGCGGGAGGCAGCAGUGGGGGGUAUUGCACAAUGGGCGGAAGCCUGAUGCAGCGACGUCGCGUGAGGGAUGGAGGCCUUCGGGUUGUGAACCUCUUUCGCCGGUGAAGAAGGUCCUGCUCUUUGUGGUGGGGUUGACGGUAGCCGGGUUAUGAAGCGCCGGCUAACUACGUG